This 314-nucleotide ribosomal RNA is filed under the name uncultured bacterium. RNAcentral's name for it is "bacterial SSU rRNA". It matches the Rfam family "Bacterial small subunit ribosomal RNA", at positions 490 to 793 of the family's 1533-position model. The record is from RNAcentral.
GCACCGGCUAACUCCGUGCCAGCAGCCGCGGUAAUACGGAGGGUGCGAGCGUUAAUCGGAAUUACUGGGCGUAAAGCGCAUGCAGGCGGCCUGUUAAGUCAGAUGUGAAAGACCCGGGGCGUUAACCUCGGAAUUGCAUUUGUAAACUAGGCAGGCUAGAGUCUUGUAGAGGGGGGUAGGGAAGUUUCUAGGUGUAGCGGUGAAAUAGCGUAGAGAUCUGAAGGAAUACCAGUGGCGAAGGCGGCCCCCUCGGACAAAGACUGACGCUCAGAUGCGAAAGCGUGGGGAGCAAACAGGAUUAGAUACCCUGGUAG